CUGUGCCUACGGGGCGCAGCAGUGAGGAAUAUUGGUCAAUGGACGAGAGUCUGAACCAGCCAAGUAGCGUGAAGGAUGACUGCCCUAUGGGUUGUAAACUUCUUUUAUAUGGGAAUAAAAUGUUCCACGUGUGGGAUUUUGUAUGUACCAUAUGAAUAAGGAUCGGCUAACUCCGUGCCAGCAGCCGCGGUAAUACGGAGGAUCCGAGCGUUAUCCGGAUUUAUUGGGUUUAAAGGGAGCGUAGGUGGAUAGUUAAGUCAGUUGUGA
RNAcentral lists this ribosomal RNA (267 nucleotides) under uncultured bacterium. RNAcentral's name for it is "partial 16S ribosomal RNA". It matches the Rfam family "Bacterial small subunit ribosomal RNA", at positions 332 to 597 of the family's 1533-position model. The record is from RNAcentral.